Molecule: non-coding RNA, 29 nt
Filed under: Homo sapiens (human)
Lineage: Eukaryota; Metazoa; Chordata; Mammalia; Primates; Hominidae
Source: RNAcentral
UGAGGCCAACGUCACCAAAGUUAGAUUGU